AAGAGUUUGAUCCUGGCUCAGGAUGAACGCUGGCGGCGUGCCUAAUACAUGCAAGUCGAGCGAACGGACGAGAAGCUUGCUUCUCUGAUGUUAGCGGCGGACGGGUGAGUAACACGUGGAUAACCUACCUAUAAGACUGGGAUAACUUCGGGAAACCGGGAGCUAAUACCGGAUAAUAUUUUGAACCGCAUGGUUCAAAAGUGAAAGACGGUCUUGCUGUCACUUAUAGAUGGAUCCGCGCUGCAUUAGCUAGUUGGUAAGGUAACGGCUUACCAAGGCAACGAUGCAUAGCCGACCUGAGAGGGUGAUCGGCCACACUGGAACUGAGACACGGUCCAGACUCCUACGGGAGGCAGCAGUAGGGAAUCUUCCGCAAUGGGCGAAAGCCUGACGGAGCAACGCCGCGUGAGUGAUGAAGGUCUUCGGAUCGUAAAACUCUGUUAUUAGGGAAGAACAUAUGUGUAAGUAACUGUGCACAUCUUGACGGUACCUAAUCAGAAAGCCACGGCUAACUACGUGCCAGCAGCCGCGGUAAUACGUAGGUGGCAAGCGUUAUCCGGAAUUAUUGGGCGUAAAGCGCGCGUAGGCGGUUUUUUAAGUCUGAUGUGAAAGCCCACGGCUCAACCGUGGAGGGUCAUUGGAAACUGGAAAACUUGAGUGCAGAAGAGGAAAGUGGAAUUCCAUGUGUAGCGGUGAAAUGCGCAGAGAUAUGGAGGAACACCAGUGGCGAARGCGACUUUCUGGUCUGUAACUGACGCUGAUGUGCGAAAGCGUGGGGAUCAAACAGGAUUAGAUACCCUGGUAGUCCACGCCGUAAACGAUGAGUGCUAAGUGUUAGGGGGUUUCCGCCCCUUAGUGCUGCAGCUAACGCAUUAAGCACUCCGCCUGGGGAGUACGACCGCAAGGUUGAAACUCAAAGGAAUUGACGGC
This 930-nucleotide ribosomal RNA is filed under the name uncultured bacterium. RNAcentral's name for it is "bacterial SSU rRNA". It matches the Rfam family "Bacterial small subunit ribosomal RNA", at positions 1 to 917 of the family's 1533-position model. The record is from RNAcentral.